Molecule: ribosomal RNA, 598 nt
Filed under: Streptococcus mutans
Lineage: Bacteria; Bacillati; Bacillota; Bacilli; Lactobacillales; Streptococcaceae
Description: bacterial SSU rRNA
Rfam family: Bacterial small subunit ribosomal RNA
Source: RNAcentral
GCAAUGGACGAAAGUCUGACCGAGCAACGCCGCGUGAGUGAAGAAGGUUUUCGGAUCGUAAAGCUCUGUUGUAAGUCAAGAACGUGUGUGAGAGUGGAAAGCUCACACAGUGACGGUAGCUUACCAGAAAGGGACGGCUAACUACGUGCCAGCAGCCGCGGUAAUACGUAGGUCCCGAGCGUUGUCCGGAUUUAUUGGGCGUAAAGGGAGCGCAGGCGAUCAGGAAAGUCUGGAGUAAAAGGCUAUGGCUCAACCAUAGUGUGCUCUGGAAACUGUCUGACUUGAGUGCAGAAGGGGAGAGUGGAAUUCCAUGUGUAGCGGUGAAAUGCGUAGAUAUAUGGAGGAACACCAGUGGCGAAAGCGGCUCUCUGGUCUGUCACUGACGCUGAGGCUCGAAAGCGUGGGUAGCGAACAGGAUUAGAUACCCUGGUAGUCCACGCCGUAAACGAUGAGUGCUAGGUGUUAGGCCCUUUCCGGGGCUUAGUGCCGGAGCUAACGCAAUAAGCACUCCGCCUGGGGAGUACGACCGCAAGGUUGAAACUCAAAGGAAUUGACGGGGGCCCGCACAAGCGGUGGAGCAUGUGGUUUAAUUCGAAGC